CGCAGAACGCUGGCCUACCAUCGUUGUGUUUUCGUGCACAAUUAUUUAAUGCCAUUUAUUCACAGUCGCAGGCGUUUACGCGCAUCGAGUUACGUGUUACAAGUUACUCUUGAUGAAACGCAAACGGGUUACACGUAUAUUCGUGUGUACCGAGUUGCGUGCGAUGAUCGAGCCGGCUGCUACUCGCUGCCAUUACUUGCGCUAUUUCACAAAACGUAUGCGGGUAAAAAUUGAGUGUCGGGUAACAGAAAUAUUUUAGCUACAACAAUUGAAUUGCUAGAUCUGAGAUAAAAGCCCAGCGACAAUCGGACGCGUGGACGGCCGGAUAGGAGUUUACGUGUUACUUGAUUCUUGGCUGCCGUUAAGUCAAAUCCAUCACCGUUCACAUACGUGAUCGAGCAUUACCGAUCACCACAUCUCAUAAUACGUGACACGGUGGACCUCGUGUCUAUAGAUCGACCCGUUCGACGUUUCGGUAUAGUGGUGCAAGUUGCGAAAAUUAGUAGCUCACAGCACGCAUCUCGAUGCACGUAAACGCAUAAGCGGUUGUCCCUCAAUUAUUUCUGUUACCUGAUAUUCAACUUUUAGCCGUACGCGUUUUGUCGAAUAGCGUAAGUAACGACAAUUAUUUCGGCCCAACGCACGAAACUCGGCGGACGGUAAAAAUGGUGUGUUAUCCGAGAAUAGCAGCCUAUAAAGCGAAUCGUGUGCGGUUCGCAGCGUCGCCCUACCACGGUCCACGUCUUCCCUCCGAAGUGGUGAUACAAGCGUAGAUGUAAAUGCCUUAAUUACAAAUACGGAGCUAAUCACCCGAAAUUUGAGAAUUCCAAGUCACCACGGUCCUACAGUUUCCGACGAAUGCAAGCUGUCGACACUUUCGUUUCAUAUUAAUCGAAACAGGGCUACGCGUUGACACUGCACUCACGACACGGUCGACGGAUAUGGAUAUGACAUGGAUACGGGAAGAUUGGGUUACGGAACUUUGUUGUCAAAAGAAGACCUCUAAGUUUCAGCGCGCUCGUCGUCCGUGAUAGCAAAGGACAAAAUCAGCCGCCUUUGCAGCCUCGCCAAUCGCCGAACAACGGUCAAACGAUCAACCACCGCUUGAUUGACCGAUGCACCCCCGCAUGCCUACGUACGUACGUACAUAGGCAGAUGUGCACGUAUAAUGUUCACCGUACGUUUAUCACUGUGUUUUUAUGGGUUCAGCUCAUCGUCCACGCCUAUCACGGCUAUCACCUGAAACCUGAAACGAUCAACAUCUCUCUACCCUGCGUAGAUUGACAAUCGAAUGUCGUGAUCACGUGAUAGAUUCCAGAAAAAUUCCCGGUAAUCGUUAUUGAAACGGAGGAGUUUUACCUUAUAAACGUCACAUGAUAGAUAUUGGUAUUAACAAGCCUCCGCGGCGUCUCAUACUCUGGAGUAUUUCGAAAUUCGACAUCGGCUUACGAUCUAACCGGCGUGCUGAAUCUUCGGGGACAUGCGGAUCCUAACGAAGCACAAGGAGCUAAUUGAACGCGAUGCCAACGACAUUUCAAUACUAUGGAAAUUACUACAAAUGUUGUUCUACUGUGUUAGCGCAAUAGCCGGCUACGUCACCGCACACGCAUUUUUUAUGUUUCAGGUAUAAUUCAGCUCUGAUCUCGUCAAUGGGACAACCUUGGCAAGACAGGCUGACAGUCAGUUACAACACUCAACAUCAUUGCUCUACGAUACAGAUAAUAUCGAUUCUUUCGUGCAUCUGUGGUAUUGUUGGGUUUUCUUUCUUUUCCAUAUGUGGGCGCGGAGGUUACCAAGUUGGAAUAUACUACAGUCCCUGGAGACUGGUUGGACCGGCUAUACUUUUCAACUUAUGUCUGACGUUGCUAACUUGGCGGUCGGCCUGCAAUUUCCAAGAGGGAUUCCAUCAUUUUCAAUACCGUCUCAAUGGGAUGCUAAAUCAAUCUGGGAAUGAACCCAUCACGGAAUACCUGCCGACAGGCAAAAAAAACACCUACAACAGACUUGUGUGGAAAUAUUAUGGAAUCACAAAGGUAUGGCACGAUGACAAUUCUAUCACACUCCAAAUUGACAUCCUUACGUGACGCCGAUUUUAUUCAAAGAAUUUAUUUAAACAAAAUUUAUGGGUAAUAUCGGCCAUCCUUGAGUAUGAUUCUCGAUUACGAAUUUUGCGAGAUUACUCAUUUAAAAUAUUGAAACUUGCGCUUCGUCUCACCGCAAUACAAAAGAUCUCAUCUUGGGUGGAAGUUGCUGCCUGGGUCAUGGGACUUACACUUCUGUUACUACGAGUUGUAAAUGUCACCGACUUCAGGUUGAUGAAAACCUCUGUAUAUGCCCUCGAAACAGAAGACGAAGAACAUCGAGAUGGAUCUCUUCGCUACAGAUUCGAAGAAUCAUGAACUUUGGUAGUGCGCGUUAAAAUUUUAACCGGUGUUUCUAGCGCUCCUCGGUUUGAUCCAUUCUUACAAUGAAUAAAUCCUAUUCUUUGCAUA
RNA transcript from Neodiprion fabricii, 2492 nucleotides. RefSeq lists it as uncharacterized. Lineage: Eukaryota; Metazoa; Arthropoda; Insecta; Hymenoptera; Diprionidae. The transcript is spliced from 6 exons. The record is from RefSeq and is a predicted model, not a curated record.